CAGCCCUAAACGAUGCGCGUUAGGUGUAUCGGUGACCACGAGUCACCGAGGUGCCGAAGGGAAACCGUGAAACGUGCCGCCUGGGAAGUACGGUCGCAAGGCUGAAACUUAAAGGAAUUGGCGGGGGAGCACCACAACGGGUGGGAGCCUGCGGUUUAAUUGGACUCAACGCCGGGAAGCUCACCGGAUAAGACAGCGGAAUGAUUGCCGGGCUGAAGACCCUGCAUGACCAGCUGAGAGGAGGUGCAUGGCGUAGUCGUGU
RNAcentral lists this ribosomal RNA (262 nucleotides) under uncultured archaeon. RNAcentral describes it as "partial 16S ribosomal RNA". It matches the Rfam family "Archaeal small subunit ribosomal RNA", at positions 748 to 1009 of the family's 1478-position model. The record is from RNAcentral.